GUAAGUUGUUUAUUCAUCUAUUAGUUCAUUCAUAAACAACCAAUCUGAAAUAAUGCAUUUGAUUUGGAUGUUAUCAAUAACACUUACGUAAUUGUGACAGUAUAUUUGGUAGGUGACAAAUUCAGUUACCUUUGAGUUGCAGUUAGUGCUGAGAACUAGUGUUAAUUGGGUGUUCAGAUGGGAUUGAACUAUUUUCUAUUGUCACAGAAUAAGUAAUAUUGGUUAACAAUAUGGCUGGCGUCGGAUUUGUCCUUAUACUAGGCGCAUUUGCUUUCACGUUGUUUUGGACAUCGAAAUUCGUUCAAGAAAUAUACCAUGCACCCGGGAAUAAAACUGCACCAGUGGUGAAAAAUGUGUCUGUAGUAAACGAAACCUUCCUACCUGGAGAAUUCAUUGAAUAUGUCGAGUGAAUUGUAUUUUGGAUGUAUUAAUGAUGUUGGUGGGCACAGCUUUCUUUGGACUCUACUUAGUUACAAAAGGGGUGCGGCAGAAAUAUCUAAAACUGAGCGACGACUUUUCGGACGAAGAACCGUUAUUACCGGAGCACUGGCCUGUCAAUACGAGUACAAGUCUCUAUUAAGUACUAAAUAGUCUCUAUAAGGUCGUUAUUUCAUUAAACGGUAGCAUAUUGGUGACUACUGCCCGUUUUAUAAUCAAUCCCUAAUUUUUAAGUUACCCCUAUGACAACAAAAUUUCUGUUAUUUGUUACCAUAGGGGUCACUUAAAAAUUAGAGAUUGAUGGUAAAAACGGGCAUAAAGCUCCUAAUAUUGCUGAUUGUGCUUUGACGUGUCUGUUUUUCAAUUUUUACCUAUUCUCUAUGGGAAUACCAAUACACGAAUAAAAAUACGUAAGUUUAAAAUGUACCAUUUUAAUGCUGUUUUCAAAUUAUUUUACAGUCAAAUGUUUAAGUUUCAAAUACAGCAAUUUCAUUUGCUGAAGUUAAUUUUGUUUUGUUGUUAAUUUAAUUUAUGCGUUGAUUAAUUUCAGGUACCUAUAUACUUAAAAUUAGGUAACUAUACCGAAUAUAUAUAAAGCUUGUUCGAUUAAGUACCGUAUAUACAGGUCACUAAUAACAGU
This is a long non-coding RNA of Ostrinia nubilalis (European corn borer), 1078 nucleotides long. RefSeq lists it as uncharacterized. Lineage: Eukaryota; Metazoa; Arthropoda; Insecta; Lepidoptera; Crambidae. The record is from RefSeq and is a predicted model, not a curated record. The transcript has 3 exons.